CAAAGGUGGGACGGAAGCGCGUCAUCGGCGGACAGAAGGCAGAACGGAAGCGCGUCAUCGUCGAGGCUCUCAUUGCUCCCAGGACCUCCGCAAGCAAGUUUCCAACAAGCCCUGCCCACGUGUGGUUUCCCGUGUGACUGACCACGGACCGAGGAGAGCUGGGUCCAUGCUGGGCACGAGGGACCAUGGGGCAUGCUUUUGGCUGGUGCUGCCAACAGGCCUCCUUCCAGGGCAGAGUCACUGUCUGUGUUAAAUGUUUGCCCGGAAGCCAGCCACGUUUCCAACACCGGGCACAGUGACUCUGAGAUCAACACUAAAAAAUAUCAUUUCCAAAAGAAUUCAAAUUCCCCCAGGAGAGAAGCUACAGAAAUCAUAACCACUGUGUGGCCGUGCGGCUCAGAGCAUGUGACAGCUGGUGAUGAGUGUCAUCUGCAUUGCCACCCGGCGCAGCGCAUCACAAAACGUUUUGCAGCAAGAACAAGACAGAGAAGCAGUAACUCUGCCAAGAAGGCAAGACCUUUCCAGCCAGCAGGGACGAGGGCAACAGGACAACCAAAAGAGGCAAAGCUUGGCCCUGCCAACUGCCUUUCCAACUGGACAAACCCUGUUCAAACUGGCCCAAAGGACACCCCUGCUGGAGUCCCAGGGACCCAAGCACAGACGCACAAGCCCCUCAGCCGCCUCUGGGACUCCACCAAGAAUUGCUGUCCUGCAAUUAAUCCCAUUAAACCAAUGUGGGGUCGCACAAACACAGAAGCAUAACUUCAGAGUACGAGAGCACCAGUCAACGCUGUGGGUCUUUGAUUUUGUUGUUGUUGUGUUGCUUAUUCUUACAGGCAGACUAGAUUAAUUUCACUGCAGUUGAAAAUCAUGCAAAUAUAGUUUAGAAGGAGGCAUUUAAUUCUUUAUAGCUCUUGCACACAACACAAAUAGCACCUCCAGUACUAACACUGCUAAGUGUUUUUAGUGUUAUUCCACUAUACAGUACAUCACAAUGUUAAUUUUCCACAUUACUUUAUUCCUUCUCCAGACCAUAUUUUACAACAGAGAAA
RNAcentral lists this long non-coding RNA (1052 nucleotides) under Macaca fascicularis (crab-eating macaque). RNAcentral describes it as "lncRNA (ENSMFAG00000047926.1)". The record is from RNAcentral. Lineage: Eukaryota; Metazoa; Chordata; Mammalia; Primates; Cercopithecidae.